UGGAGGGCAAGUCUGGUGCCAGCAGCCGCGGUAAUUCCAGCUCCAAUAGCGUAUAUUAAAGUUGUUGCAGUUAAAAAGCUCGUAGUUGAACCUUGGGUCUGGCUGGCCGGUCCGCCUCACCGCGAGUACUGGUCCGGCUGGACCUUUCCUUCUGGGGAACCUCAUGGCCUUCACUGGCUGUGGGGGGAACCAGGACUUUUACUGUGAAAAAAUUAGAGUGUUCAAAGCAGGCCUUUGCUCGAAUACAUUAGCAUGGAAUAAUAGAAUAGGACGUGUGGUUCUAUUUUGUUGGUUUCUAGGACCGCCGUAAUGAUUAAUAGGGAUAGUCGGGGGCGUCAGUAUUCAGCUGUCAGAGGUGAAAUUCUUGGAUUUGCUGAAGACUAACCACUGCGAAAGCAUUCGCCAAGGAUGUUUUCAUUAAUCAGGGAACGAAAGUUAGGGGAUCGAAGACGAUCAGAUACCGUCGUAGUCUUAACCAUAAACUAUGCCGACUAGGGAUCGGACGGGAUUCUAUGAUGACCCGUUCGGCACCUUACGGGAAAC
RNAcentral lists this ribosomal RNA (543 nucleotides) under uncultured Ascomycota. RNAcentral describes it as "SSU rRNA". It matches the Rfam family "Eukaryotic small subunit ribosomal RNA", at positions 549 to 1098 of the family's 1831-position model. The record is from RNAcentral. Lineage: Eukaryota; Fungi; Ascomycota.